RNAcentral lists this ribosomal RNA (797 nucleotides) under Staphylococcus aureus. RNAcentral describes it as "partial 23S ribosomal RNA". It matches the Rfam family "Bacterial large subunit ribosomal RNA", at positions 650 to 1452 of the family's 2925-position model. The record is from RNAcentral. Lineage: Bacteria; Bacillati; Bacillota; Bacilli; Caryophanales; Staphylococcaceae.
GCAGUAAAUGUGGAGCCGUAGCGAAAGCGAGUCUGAAUAGGGCGUUUAGUAUUUGGUCGUAGACCCGAAACCAGGUGAUCUACCCUUGGUCAGGUUGAAGUUCAGGUAACACUGAAUGGAGGACCGAACCGACUUACGUUGAAAAGUGAGCGGAUGAACUGAGGGUAGCGGAGAAAUUCCAAUCGAACCUGGAGAUAGCUGGUUCUCUCCGAAAUAGCUUUAGGGCUAGCCUCAAGUGAUGAUUAUUGGAGGUAGAGCACUGUUUGGACGAGGGGCCCCUCUCGGGUUACCGAAUUCAGACAAACUCCGAAUGCCAAUUAAUUUAACUUGGGAGUCAGAACAUGGGUGAUAAGGUCCGUGUUCGAAAGGGAAACAGCCCAGACCACCAGCUAAGGUCCCAAAAUAUAUGUUAAGUGGAAAAGGAUGUGGCGUUGCCCAGACAACUAGGAUGUUGGCUUAGAAGCAGCCAUCAUUUAAAGAGUGCGUAAUAGCUCACUAGUCGAGUGACACUGCGCCGAAAAUGUACCGGGGCUAAACAUAUUACCGAAGCUGUGGAUUGUCCUUUGGACAAUGGUAGGAGAGCGUUCUAAGGGCGUUGAAGCAUGAUCGUAAGGACAUGUGGAGCGCUUAGAAGUGAGAAUGCCGGUGUGAGUAGCGAAAGACGGGUGAGAAUCCCGUCCACCGAUUGACUAAGGUUUCCAGAGGAAGGCUCGUCCGCUCUGGGUUAGUCGGGUCCUAAGCUGAGGCCGACAGGCGUAGGCGAUGGAUAACAGGUUGAUAUUCCUGUACCACCUAUA